GGCCCAGACUCCUACGGGAGGCAGCAGUGGGGAAUAUUGCACAAUGGGGGAAACCCUGAUGCAGCGACGCCGCGUGAGUGAAGAAGUAUCUCGGUACGUAAAGCUCUAUCAGCAGGGAAGAAAAUGACGGUACCUGACUAAGAAGCCCCGGCUAACUACGUGCCAGCAGCCGCGGUAAUACGUAGGGGGCAAGCGUUAUCCGGAUUUACUGGGUGUAAAGGGGGCGCAGACGGCAAUGCAAGCCAGGAGUGAAAGCCCGGGGCCCAACCCCGGGACUGCUCUUGGAACUGCAUGGCUGGAGUACAGGAGGGGCAGGCGGAAUUCCUAGUGUAGCGGUGAAAUGCGUAGAUAUUAGGAGGAACACCAGUGGCGAAGGCGGCUUACUGGACAGUAACUGACGUUGAGGCUCGAAAGCGUGGGGAGCAAACAGGAUUAGAUACCCUCGUA
This 447-nucleotide ribosomal RNA is filed under the name uncultured bacterium. RNAcentral's name for it is "bacterial SSU rRNA". It matches the Rfam family "Bacterial small subunit ribosomal RNA", at positions 328 to 792 of the family's 1533-position model. The record is from RNAcentral.